Molecule: long non-coding RNA, 660 nt
Organism: Daucus carota subsp. sativus
Lineage: Eukaryota; Viridiplantae; Streptophyta; Magnoliopsida; Apiales; Apiaceae
Exons: 3
Source: RefSeq, a predicted model, not a curated record
ACAUUUAAUAGUGUAGUAUAAAAGUUAAAGAAAUGAGUCAAGCAUCUCUUUUACGAAAGACACUGAAAGAGAUUGUGAAUGUGAAGGAUAGCCAGGAGCAAUUUGGGUGCACUAUCAAUCAUAUUAAUAAGAUUGUUUAUCUGGAAGGCGAGCUUGAUUAGUCAACUUAAAUUGGAACGUGAGUCAACUUAAAUUGGAACGUGGUGCGCUGAAAGAAUUCUGGAGAAGAAUAUUCAGGCAAGGGUAAAAGUGAGAUGAACUGAAGUGCUAGACUUGGUUGGAUUUGCAAGUAGAAGUAUUAUGUAAUCGACAGAAGUGUUUUAAAUGUGUACUUCGUAGUAGACUUGUGUCCUGGACGUUUAUAGAAGCUAUGUAAGACUUCUGAUAUAAGGUAAAAUAUACAUUUAAGUUAUAUUAAGUUUGAGAUUAUGAAGAUAUAGUUCGUUGUGUUCAGUAGAAUGGCACCCCCGGGUCGGGUUGCUGAGGUCAUCCCGGGCCGGGGGCGUCACAGGUGAGAUCCUCAAGCGCUCCUCGGGCGUCCUUGGCGCUCACGGGGCGCUCAUAGGGCGUUUCUAAGGCACUCAUGGGCGUUGGGUGUUUUUCAACACCCAAGUUGAUUGUCGACCUCACCCAGGUCGAUUUAGGACAUCUUGGGUGCCC